RNAcentral lists this ribosomal RNA (372 nucleotides) under uncultured organism. RNAcentral describes it as "bacterial SSU rRNA". It matches the Rfam family "Bacterial small subunit ribosomal RNA", at positions 526 to 896 of the family's 1533-position model. The record is from RNAcentral.
CAGAGGGGGCAAGCGUUGUUCGGAAUUACUGGGCGUAAAGGGCGCGUAGGCGGCCCGCUAAGUCGAACGUGAAAUCCCCGAGCGCAACUCGGGAACUGCGUCCGAUACUGGCGGGCUUGAAUCCGGGAGAGGGAUGCGGAAUUCCAGGCGUAGCGGUGAAAUGCGUAGAUAUCUGGAGGAACACCGGUGGCGAAGGCGGCAUCCUGGACCGGCAUUGACGCUGAGGCGCGAAAGCUAGGGGAGCAAACGGGAUUAGAUACCCCGGUAGUCCUAGCCCUAAACGAUGAAUGCUUGGUGUGGCGGGUAUCGAUCCCUGCCGUGCCGAAGCUAACGCAUUAAGCAUUCCGCCUGGGGAGUACGGUCGCAAGGCUG